GGUCCGUUGGUCAAGGGGUUAAGACACCGCCUUUUCACGGCGGUAACGCGGGUUCGAAUCCCGUACGGACUAUCA
RNAcentral lists this transfer RNA (75 nucleotides) under Streptococcus dysgalactiae subsp. equisimilis. RNAcentral's name for it is "tRNA-Glu". It matches the Rfam family "tRNA". Rfam says of the family: Transfer RNA (tRNA) molecules are approximately 80 nucleotides in length. Lineage: Bacteria; Bacillati; Bacillota; Bacilli; Lactobacillales; Streptococcaceae. The record is from RNAcentral.